RNAcentral lists this ribosomal RNA (238 nucleotides) under uncultured bacterium. RNAcentral's name for it is "partial 16S ribosomal RNA". It matches the Rfam family "Bacterial small subunit ribosomal RNA", at positions 96 to 334 of the family's 1533-position model. The record is from RNAcentral.
CGGCGGACGGGUGAGUAACGCGUGGGUAACCUGCCUCAUACAGGGGGAUAACAGUUAGAAAUGACUGCUAAUACCGCAUAAACACACAGUACCGCAUGGUACAGUGUGAAAAACUCCGGUGGUAUGAGAUGGACCCGCGUCUGAUUAGCUGGUUGGCGGGGUAACGGCCCACCAAGGCGACGAUCAGUAACCGACCUGAGAGGGUGACCGGCCACAUUGGGACUGAGACACGGCCCAA